CCCGUCUUGAAACACGGACCAAGGAGUGCAGGAGGUGCGCUAGUCCUCGGGUGAGAGAAACCCGUCGUGGGCGAAGCGAGAGCGAUGCCUUGUGCGUCGCGGGAGCCGGUGCCUUCUGGUGUCGGCGCACCGCGAACCGAGCCGUGUGGUCACGCUGUGGCCGGCUUCGAGUCAGAGCGCAUCUGUUGCGACCCGAAAGAUGGUGAACUAUGCCCGAGGAGGGCGAAGCCAGGGGAAACUCUGGUGGAAGCUCGUAGCGGUUCUGACGUGCAAAUCGAUCGUCGCACUUGGGUAUAGGGGCGAAAGACUAAUCGAACCAUCUAGUAGCUGGUUCCCUCCGAAGUUUCCCUCAGGAUAGCUGGAGCCCGCGAGUGCAGUUUCAUCGGGUAAAGCGAAUGAUUAGAGGUAUCGGGGUCCGAGAGACCUCGACCUAUUCUCAAACUUUAAAUAGGUGAGAUCGGUCGGCUUUCUCAAGUGAAGCCGUGCCGUGAGGAAUGCAGGGGCUCCUGGUGGGCCGUUUUUGGUAAGCAGAACCGGCGAUGCGGGAUGAACCGAACGGCGGGUUACGGUGCCGGAGUCGACGCUGAUGAGACACCACGAAAGGUGUUGGUUGAUCCAGACAGCAG
RNAcentral lists this ribosomal RNA (626 nucleotides) under Amphimedon viridis. Its description in RNAcentral is "eukaryotic LSU rRNA". It matches the Rfam family "Eukaryotic large subunit ribosomal RNA", at positions 648 to 1243 of the family's 3401-position model. Lineage: Eukaryota; Metazoa; Porifera; Demospongiae; Haplosclerida; Niphatidae. The record is from RNAcentral.